RNAcentral lists this ribosomal RNA (471 nucleotides) under uncultured bacterium. RNAcentral describes it as "partial 16S ribosomal RNA". It matches the Rfam family "Bacterial small subunit ribosomal RNA", at positions 29 to 507 of the family's 1533-position model. The record is from RNAcentral.
ACGAACGCUGGCGGCGUGCUUAACACAUGCAAGUCGAACGCUGAAGCUUGGUGCUUGCACUGGGUGGAUGAGUGGCGAACGGGUGAGUAAUAAGUGAGUAACCUGCCCUUGACUCUGGGAUAAGCCUGGGAAACUGGGUCUAAUACUGGAUACGACAUGUCACCGCAUGGUGGUGUGUGGAAAGGGUUUUACUGGUUUUGGAUGGGCUCACGGCCUAUCAGCUUGUUGGUGGGGUAAUGGCUCACCAAGGCGACGACGGGUAGCCGGCCUGAGAGGGUGACCGGCCACACUGGGACUGAGACACGGCCCAGACUCCUACGGGAGGCAGCAGUGGGGAAUAUUGCACAAUGGGCGGAAGCCUGAUGCAGCGACGCCGCGUGAGGGAUGACGGCCUUCGGGUUGUAAACCUCUUUCAGCACGGAAGAAGCGAAAGUGACGGUACGUGCAGAAGAAGCGCCGGCUAACUACGUG